Molecule: ribosomal RNA, 260 nt
Filed under: uncultured bacterium
Lineage: Bacteria
Description: partial 16S ribosomal RNA
Rfam family: Bacterial small subunit ribosomal RNA
Source: RNAcentral
CGAACGGGUGAGUAACACUGGGCAACCUGCCCAAAAGAGGGGGAUAACACUUGGAAACAGGUGCUAAUACCGCAUAACCAUAGUUACCGCAUGGUAACUAUGUAAAAGGUGGCUAUGCUACCGCUUUUGGAUGGGCCCGCGGCGCAUUAGCUAGUUGGUGGGGUAAAGGCUUACCAAGGCAAUGAUGCGUAGCCGAACUGAGAGGUUGAUCGGCCACAUUGGGACUGAGACACGGCCCAAACUCCUACGGGAGGCAGCAG